AAAAAGCACACCUGUUUGAGUGUCAUG
RNAcentral lists this ribosomal RNA (27 nucleotides) under Stereostratum corticioides. Its description in RNAcentral is "partial 5.8S ribosomal RNA". Lineage: Eukaryota; Fungi; Basidiomycota; Pucciniomycetes; Pucciniales; Pucciniaceae. The record is from RNAcentral.